This 468-nucleotide ribosomal RNA is filed under the name uncultured bacterium. RNAcentral describes it as "partial 16S ribosomal RNA". It matches the Rfam family "Bacterial small subunit ribosomal RNA", at positions 28 to 507 of the family's 1533-position model. The record is from RNAcentral.
GACGAACGCUGGCGGCGUGCUUAACACAUGCAAGUCGAACGGAAAGGCCCUGCUUUUGUGGGGUGCUCGAGUGGCGAACGGGUGAGUAACACGUGAGUAACCUGCCCUUGACUUUGGGAUAACUUCAGGAAACUGGGGCUAAUACCGGAUAUGAGCUCCUGCUGCAUGGUGGGGGUUGGAGAGUUUCGGCGGUUGGGGAUGGACUCGCGGCUUAUCAGCUUGUUGGUGUGGUAGUGGCUUACCAAGGCUUUGACGGGUAGCCGGCCUGAGAGGGUGACCGGCCACAAGGGGACUGAGAUACGGCGCAGACGCCUACGGGAGGCAGCAGUGGGGAAUAUGGCACAAUGGGCGGAAGCCUGAGGCAGCAACGCCGCGUGCGGGAUGACGGCUUUCGGGUUGUAAACCGCUGUCGCCGGUGACGAAGCGUGAGUGACGGUAAUGGGUAAAGAAGCACCGGCUAACUACGUG